AAACAAAUUAAUUAAUAUUAAUCAUUUAACUUUCACGAUAAUAUUUUAGAUCAUCCCAGUAUUCAACUUUUCUCAUAAUAAAGUUGAAUGAUAAUAUAAAAAAAUGUACAUUUAUACCUAACUUUCAAUCUCAUUAUUUUUUUUCUCCUAACUUGUAUUUAUUCAUCAUUUAAACUUUACAUCUUACAGUUUUAUUUAAGUUGUCGUAAUUUUCCAUUUCCUCUAAAGUCUGAUCGUUGAACGUUUUAACGUUAUUCGUGCAGCAUUAGCACUGAAGCUAGCGUUAAGCUAGGUAAGCUAGUAACCUAUUAGCGGGCUAAUAAAUAGCCUGUUAACGGCUAGCAUUACCGUCCGUGCUGCUCUAGCUUAUUUUUUUAAAUAUCACUUUUAUUCGCUUAAGCUUCACUUUAAAAUUUAUAAAUUAGAACAUGAAAACUGUGGACGGCUCAGAAAAGUCUGCUAUACUUGGUUUCACCGUCAAAGGGAGCAGGAGCGACGUUCGGCUGCAGAGCUUUGACAAUGACCUCCAGUGGCUCAAUGGUCAGAGGACACUGCUGGCAGCCCACCCAGAAGUACGGGAAGACCUUCUCGGUGAGUGGGUGCUUGAACGUGUAGAUGUGUGUGUUGUCCUGUGGGUUGUAGAACGACAACCUGCCCCUGUCACAGUCCAGCAGCACUCGGAUCCUCUGCGGGUUGCUCUUCAAGUUCAGCCGAGUUAGAGGAGAGGUACCUGCGAAGUACAUUUUGUGGUAGAAGUACACACAGAGGUAUCCAUUGCUCAGCACUGAAGACACUUUCUCCUUCUUCUUGACGGAUUCCUUGGCCACGCCGACAACCCACGCCGUGCUGUCUCCCACGUUGACGUCCCAGGCGCGCUUGCCCGAGGUGAAGGCCUCGCAGCCGAGCACGGCGCUGUCAGGGUCGAAUCUCUCUGGGUUGUCGGGCAAUUUCUGCUUCUUGUCGCUGUCGCAGACGCUGGUGAGGUCGUCUGUCAGGACGAGCCACGGGGCGGCGGUGUUGGGGUCCAGAGUGACUGGGGCUGGAGAAAACAUGAUAGUUUGGGGUCACACGCAGAGCGUGGCGGCCUGGGACUCCAUCCAGUAUGAACCUCACCAUUGCUGGUACUCACUGUAUUUGACGAUCUUAUGCAUCUUCUCCCACACGUGGUACGAGAGCGAGCCCACGUAUCGGCCUACGUCAAUGAGCGCACACGGAGCCAUAACUUCACCUUCGAUCGGACAGUUAGCCCUGCAGAUUCAGAAUAAAACACAUUCGGAUCAAAGUAACAAAAGUAUAGAUUUAAAAUUUAAAAAUAAAUUUUCUCUUUACCUUUCUAGA
This is a long non-coding RNA of Betta splendens (Siamese fighting fish), 1338 nucleotides long. RefSeq lists it as uncharacterized. The record is from RefSeq and is a predicted model, not a curated record. The transcript is spliced from 2 exons. Lineage: Eukaryota; Metazoa; Chordata; Actinopteri; Anabantiformes; Osphronemidae.